RNAcentral lists this ribosomal RNA (443 nucleotides) under uncultured bacterium. Its description in RNAcentral is "partial 16S ribosomal RNA". It matches the Rfam family "Bacterial small subunit ribosomal RNA", at positions 338 to 795 of the family's 1533-position model. The record is from RNAcentral.
CCUACGGGAGGCAGCAGUGGGGAAUAUUGGACAAUGGGGGGAACCCUGAUCCAGCGACGCCGCGUGAGUGAAGAAGUAUUUCGGUAUGUAAAGCUCUAUCAGCAGGGAAGAAAGAAAUGACGGUACCUGACUAAGAAGCCCCGGCUAACUACGUGCCAGCAGCCGCGGUAAUACGUAGGGGGCAAGCGUUAUCCGGAUUUACUGGGUGUAAAGGGAGCGUAGACGGCGAUGCAAGUCUGAAGUGAAAGGCGGGGGCCCAACCCCCGGACUGCUUUGGAACCUGUAUGGCUGGAGUGCAGGAGAGGUAAGUGGAAUUCCUAGGGUAGCGGUGAAAGGCGUAGAGAUUAGGAGGAACACCAGUGGAGAAGGCGGCUUACUGGACUGUAACUGACGUUGAGGCUCGAAAGCGUGGGGAGCAAACAGGAUUAGAUACCCUUGUAGUC